RNAcentral lists this non-coding RNA (91 nucleotides) under human gut metagenome. RNAcentral also lists the same sequence under 1 other name. The record is from RNAcentral.
CGCAGGGGUGCUCACGGCAGUGGGCUGAGAUUAGGCUGAUACCGCCUGGACCCGGGAACCUGAUUUGGAUAAUGCCAACGUAGGGAGAUCG